This 253-nucleotide ribosomal RNA is filed under the name uncultured bacterium. RNAcentral describes it as "partial 16S ribosomal RNA". It matches the Rfam family "Bacterial small subunit ribosomal RNA", at positions 524 to 776 of the family's 1533-position model. The record is from RNAcentral.
UACGGGGGGGGCAAGCGUUGUUCGGAAUUACUGGGCGUAAAGGGCUCGUAGGCGGCCAACUAAGUCAGACGUGAAAUCCCCCGGCUUAACCAGGGAACUGCGUCUGAUACUGGAUGGCUUGAGUUCUGGAGAGGAAGGCGGAAUUCUCGGUGUAGAGGUGAAAUUCGUAGAUAUCGAGAGGAACACCGGUGGCGAAGGCGGCCUUCUGGACAGCAACUGACGCUGAGACGCGAAAGCGUGGGGAGCAAACAGG